Molecule: long non-coding RNA, 750 nt
Organism: Medicago truncatula (barrel medic)
Lineage: Eukaryota; Viridiplantae; Streptophyta; Magnoliopsida; Fabales; Fabaceae
Exons: 5
Source: RefSeq, a predicted model, not a curated record
UUAAUAAGACAACGAGGAAAGACUUUAUGUAAGAAUAUUCAUGCACGAGAUUUCAAAAAUAGACAAGAGAUCACGUUGAAUGAAGAAGGACAACCAAUUGGACCAGAUGAAAAGAGAGUGGCUGAACUUAGUAGUUUUUUGGGGACAAUAGCAAGAAGUGCAGAUUUAUGUCCUCUUACCUUCAAUAAUUGGAAGGCUUUGGUUAAGACUUGGAAGGAUGAAGAAAUCGAUCCAGUCUGGGAAUAUGUCAAUGAAAAAUACAUCAUCCCAGAGAAAGGAAAGAAGGAUGUAUUUGAUAUUGUAAGUGAUGCUUGGAGACGAUACAAAUACUUGAUUAAAAAGAAUCAUUUUACCAAGUACAAAACCAUGCGCGAGCGGUUAAAAAAUCGUCCAGAAGAGGUACCGGAAGAAGACUUUAAGAAGUUAUUGGUGUAUUGGAGAGAUAAAAACAGUCAAUCUGCAAAAUGCUCAAAAUAUUGCUCAACUGAAAUGGAGACAUCGAACGGGCAAUAAAGCCUUUGCUGUUAUAAGAGAAAAAAUGUGUGUAAGUAAUGAAGAUAAAGAGCCUCCCAGUCAAGCGGAAAUGUUCAUUGCUACACGUCAAAGUAAGAAAGGAAAAGAGCUGGAUCAAGAAACCAAUACUGCAAUUAUAAAGCUUCAAGACUUAAUUGAGAAACAUGGGAAGCCUUCUGAAGAAGCCUUUCAAAGUGUAUGCGGCAAAGAAAAACUUGGUAGACUUCGUUGCCAUGG